UGUUCUCUGCCGUGUUCGCUAGUGGGCUUAAGUACCUUUGAGCCUUAAAUACAACCCCCGGGGACGGGAUUGUGGCGUCCUGUGCAUGUCCGCCUGACGGAAAGCCUUAGACGGUCACACAUGUUCCCACUUGAACCUUUGGUUCAAGGUCUCAUGCUCCGACGGCAUGGCGGAGAACUC
Molecule: non-coding RNA, 180 nt
Filed under: Tenderia sp. (SeqCode)
Lineage: Bacteria; Pseudomonadati; Pseudomonadota; Gammaproteobacteria; Tenderiales (SeqCode); Tenderiaceae (SeqCode)
Description: 6S RNA
Rfam family: 6S / SsrS RNA
About the family: E. coli 6S RNA was the first non coding RNA to be sequenced, but its function was unknown until recently. It consists of 184 nucleotides that fold into an extended hairpin structure with a large single-stranded internal bulge. The 6S RNA specifically associates with RNA polymerase holoenzyme containing the sigma70 specificity factor.
Source: RNAcentral